RNAcentral lists this ribosomal RNA (497 nucleotides) under uncultured bacterium. Its description in RNAcentral is "partial 16S ribosomal RNA". It matches the Rfam family "Bacterial small subunit ribosomal RNA", at positions 28 to 507 of the family's 1533-position model. The record is from RNAcentral.
GAUGAACGCUGGCGGCGUGCCUAAUACAUGCAAGUCGAGCGAACAUACCAGUAGCUUGCUCCUCUGCCGUUAGCUGCGGACGGGUGAGUAACACUUGGAUAACCUACCUCUAAGACUGGGAUAACUUCGUGAAACCGGAGCUAAUACCGGAUAAUAUAUUUCACCGCAUGGUUCAAUAGCGAAAGACUGUUUUGCUGUCACUUUUAUAUGUAUCCGCGCCGCCUUAGCUAGUUGGUAAGGUAACGGCUUACCAAGGCAACGAUGCGUAGCCGACCUGAGAGAGUGAUCGACCAGACUGGAAGAGAGAAACGGUCGAGACACCGACGGGAGGCAGCAGUAGGGAAUCUUCCGCGAAGGGCGAGAGCCGGACGGAGCAAAGCCGCGGGAGUGAUGAAGGACUUAGGAUCGGAAAACGAUGUUAUUAGGGAAGAACAAAUGUGUAAGUAACUAGGAACGUAUUGACGGUACCGAAUCAGAAAGCCACGGCUAACUACGUG